CCUACGGGUGGCUGCAGUGGGGAAUAUUGGACAAUGGGCGAAAGCCUGAUCCAGCCAUGCCGCGUGUGUGAAGAAGGCCUUCGGGUUGUAAAGCACUUUCAGUGGGGAAGAAAGCCUUGGGGCUAAUACCCUCGAGGAAGGACAUCACCCACAGAAGAAGCACCGGCUAACUCCGUGCCAGCAGCCGCGGUAAUACGGAGGGUGCGAGCGUUAAUCGGAAUUACUGGGCGUAAAGCGCGCGUAGGCGGUCUGAUAAGCCGGUUGUGAAAGCCCCGGGCUCAACCUGGGAACGGCAUCCGGAACUGUCAGGCUAGAGUGCAGGAGAGGAAGGUAGAAUUCCCGGUGUAGCGGUGAAAUGCGUAGAGAUCGGGAGGAAUACCAGUGGCGAAGGCGGCCUUCUGGACUGACACUGACGCUGAGGUGCGAAAGCGUGGGUAGGAAACAGGAUUAGAUACCCCGGUAGUC
RNAcentral lists this ribosomal RNA (465 nucleotides) under Vreelandella stevensii. RNAcentral describes it as "partial 16S ribosomal RNA". It matches the Rfam family "Bacterial small subunit ribosomal RNA", at positions 338 to 795 of the family's 1533-position model. Lineage: Bacteria; Pseudomonadati; Pseudomonadota; Gammaproteobacteria; Oceanospirillales; Halomonadaceae. The record is from RNAcentral.